AUCCUGGCCAAAUGCGAGCGCGAGGGAGAAAACGUUCUGGCGGUCUAUCGCGAAGAAGGCGAGAGCGCCACCAACAUGAAACGACCGGCGUUCGAGCAGAUGGUGGCGCGUGCCACGGACGGCACGCGCACCGUCGAUGCCAUCAUGGUCUAUUCGUUCUCGCGCGCGUUCCGCAAUCAAUUCGAGCAGGAGCUGACAGUCCGUGCCUUGCGUAAGCACAAGGUCGAGUUGAUAUCGUUUGCGGAGCCGCUGACCAAUGAUGCCAGUGGUGAUCUGUUCAGAAAGUUCAUUGGGAUCGUCAACGAAUUUCAGUCUG
RNAcentral lists this unclassified non-coding RNA (316 nucleotides) under Hevea brasiliensis (rubber tree). The record is from RNAcentral. Lineage: Eukaryota; Viridiplantae; Streptophyta; Magnoliopsida; Malpighiales; Euphorbiaceae.